This 403-nucleotide unclassified non-coding RNA is filed under the name soil metagenome. Its description in RNAcentral is "partial contains 5.8S ribosomal RNA, internal transcribed spacer 2, and large subunit ribosomal RNA". The stretch from base 1 to 120 matches the Rfam family "5.8S ribosomal RNA", at positions 36 to 154 of the family's 154-position model. The record is from RNAcentral.
AUGAAGAACGUAGCGAAAUGCGAUAAGUAAUGUGAAUUGCAGAAUUCAGUGAAUCAUCGAAUCUUUGAACGCACCUUGCGCCCUUUGGCUAUUCCGAAGGGCAUGCCUGUUUGAGUAUCAUGAACACCUCAACUCUCAUGGUUUGCCAUGAUGAGCUUGGACUUUGGGGGUCUUGCCGGCCUAUGGGUCGGCUCCUCUCAAAUUAAUCAGCUUGCCAGUGUUUGGUGGCAUCACAGGUGUGAUAACUAUCUACGCUUGUGGUUUUCCAUCAGGUAACCUUCAGUGAUGGAGGUUCGCUGGGGCUCAUAAAUGUCUCUCCUCAGUGAGGACAGCUUUUUUGAACGUUUGAUCUCAAAUCAGGUAGGACUACCCGCUGAACUUAAGCAUAUCAAUAAGCGGAGGA